Molecule: RNA transcript, 6404 nt
Organism: Salmo salar (Atlantic salmon)
Lineage: Eukaryota; Metazoa; Chordata; Actinopteri; Salmoniformes; Salmonidae
Source: RefSeq, a predicted model, not a curated record
AAUUUGUAAGUGGAGAUAGUAGCGUAUUUGUUUAUUUUCCAAGCGAAGUAUUAACGAGUUGUAUUCCAGUCUAGUAGGUGGCGGUAAUGAAACAUGCAUUGGAUUCCAAUCGAAGAAGAAGAAGAAGAAGGAGAAGGAACAGGAACACUAGCACUGUGCUAUGAAGACGAUAGCUUUUGUGUACGUUUGAAAUGUUUACUACAGGUAUGUAAUAGCACGUUUACACUUUCUAAUAUCGAAAGAACAUGUCAUAACAUGUUAGGUAGCAAAUCCGUCAAGGUAUUGUCACGUUUGCUAAAGGUUGUAUGACCUUAUUGUUGUGUCAAACCGAGUGAGUGAAGAACGUGAUAAGUCACAUCGUUAGAGACUGGGUUUGUCUGAGUGAAUCAAUAUACAUUAUUUCGUGAAGAUAAAUUCAUAAAGAAUCUAUGUAUUUGAGAUUUCUGAGUUCGUUUUACAUGUUAUUGUUUUGUUGUGUAAUGUUUUUUUACGAGCUGAUAAAAUGGCGGCGGCAACUCUGUCUGGGUCAGUGGACUUCAGUGCAGGCAGUGCGGUUGAAUCAGAGGGACAAUUUCACGGUUGCUCUACUGUUUUGAAGCUGAGUGUAAUGAUUAUCAGUUUUCUACAUAUUCAGACACCUUCAGCUGUUUCUAUCUUAUCUAUAUUUGUUACUAUGAUGUGAAUGGUAAAUACAAAUGGUUUUUGCGAGCUAAAUCACAUUUUAUUGGUCACAUGCGCCAAAUACAAUGUGUAGACUCUACAGUGAAACGCUUACUUCCAAUAAUACAUAGUUAAAAAAUAAAGGGAAAUAUUUUCUAAAUUAAUAAAGUAAUAGUAGCACAAGGAGUACCAGUACCGAGUCAAUGUGCAGGUUGGUAAUACAGGAUGAAUCUGCAGGGUUAAUAAUUGAGGUAAUACAGGAUGAAUCUGCAGGGUUAAUUGUGGUUAUACAGGAUGAAUCUGCAGGGUUAGUUGUGGUAAUACAGGAUGAAUCUGCAGGCUUAGUUGUGGUAAUACAGGAUAAAUCUGCAGAGUUAAUUGAGGUAAUACAGGAUGAAUCUGCAGGGUUAAUUGAGGUAAUACAGGAUGAAUCUGCAGGGUUAAUUGAGGUAAUACAGGAUGAAUCUGCAGGGUUAAUUGAGGUAAUACAGGAUGAAUCUGCAGGGUUAAUUGAGGUAAUACAGGAUGAAUCUUCAGGGUUAAUUGUGGUAAUACAGGAUGAAUCUGCAGGGUUAAUUGAGGUAAUACAGGAUGAAUCUGCAGGGUUAAUUGAGGUAAUACCAUAUGUGCAUGUCACUUUCACCCCUAGCUACUAGACAAUGAGGAUGUAUAAUAAUCAGAGUAGCAGCUGUGUGUGUGUGUUGAGUGUCAGUGUAGUUUGUGUGGGUUGAGAAGUGGGUGUGCAUAGAGCCAGUGUUCAGAGGGCCCAUGUCUAAACUUGUCAGCCUCCUGAGGGGGAAGAGGCGUUGCCCUCUUCACGACUGUUGGUGUGUUUGGACCAUGAUAGGUCCUUAGUGACGUGGACACUGAGGAACUCGAAGCUCUCGACCCGCUCCACUACAUCCCGUCAAGGUGAAUGAGGGGGCAUGUUCGGCCCUCUGUUUCCUUUAGUCCUCGAUAAGCUCCUUAGUUUUGCCCAUGUUGAGGGAGAGGUUGUUGUCAUAGCACCACACUGCCAGGUCUCUGACCUACUCCCUAUAGGCUGUCUCAUCGGUGAUCAUGCCUACCACCAUUGGCUAACUUAACGAUGGUGUUGAAGUCGUGCGCUGCCACGCAGCCGUGGGUGAACAGGAAGUACAGGACCACGCACCCCUGAGAGGCCCCGUGUUAAAGGUCAGCGUGGUGAAUGUGUUUUUGCCUACCCUCACCACCUCUCGUGCGGCUCGUCAUGAAGUCCAGGAUCCAGUUGCAGAGUGAGGUGUUCAGUCCCAGGGUCCUUAGCUUAGUGAUGAGCUUGGAGGGUACUAUGGUGUUGAACGCUGAACUAUAGUCAUUGAACAUCAUUCUUACGUAGGUGUUCCUCUUGUCCAGAUGAGAAAGGGGAGUGUAAUAGAGAUUGCGUCAUCUGUGGGUCUGUUGGGGAAGUAGACAAAUUGGAGUGGGUCCAGGGUUUCUGGGAAGAUGGUGUUGAUGUGAGCCAUGACCAGCCUUUCAAAACAUUUUAUAUCUACAAAUGUGAGUGUUACAGGGCAAUAGUCAUUUAGACAGGUUACCUUAGUGUUCAUGGGCACAGGUACUAUGGUGGUUUGCUUGAAACAUGUAGGUAUACAGACUGGGUCAGGAAGAGGUUGAAAAUGUCACUGAAGACACUUGUCAGCACAUGUUCUGAGUACGCGUUAUGGUAAUCCGUCUGGCCCCGUCGACCUUGUUAAUGUUAACCUGUUUAAAGAUCCUACUGUUUAAAGGCUACGGAGAGCGUGGUCAUACAGUCAUCCAGAACAGCUGGUGCUUUCACUCAUGGUUCAGUGUUGCUUGCCUCGAAGUGAGCAUAGAACGCAUUUAGCUUGUCUGGUAGGCUUGCGUCACUGGGCAGCUCUCGGCUGGGUAUCCCUUUGUAAUCCAUAAAUCUAGUGCUGAGGGAUUAGUGCAUUUUUGAGGUCAGUUUCGGUUCAAUUAUUAAAAAAGGCUCACGGAUUUGAGUUUCAAUUAUACAUUUUUUUCUUUACAUUACAUGAAAUAAUGACAUCAAUAAUUUUAGAGCUUUUUAAUGGAAAUUGCAAAGGUGUGUGUGUGUUGGUGUCAAAUAGCUUGAGAGGGGGUUGGUCGGUACGGUUUGAUUUAUUGUUCAUAUCACACGCUCUAGCUCUCUAAACACAUGCACACACACACACGCUCGCUCGCUCUCUCUCUCUCCACACACACUCCCCCUAUAUCUACCUCUCCCAGCAGGUCAGUCCAUCUCUCUCUCUUUCUCUGUCCUCCAUCUCUCUCUCUCUUUCUCUGUCCUCCAUCCCUCUCAUUUGGAUGAUAGAUAGGGAUGGCCCAAGGCCAAAAUAGUGAACAUUCAAUUGCAAAAACAUUGAAAAUAUUCCAUUGUAUCUGUCAGGUCCAUUUUUCGGUAGACAUCAAUAGAAAAGUAGUCAAUUACUAUGACAAAAUCAAAUAUUUCAGUUGUGUAUAUUAUACUGAACAAAAUUAUAAACACAACAUGUAAAGUGUUGCUCCCAUGUUUCAUGAGCUGAAAUAAAAGAUUCCAGAAAUAUGUACAAAAAGCUUAUUACUCUCAAAUGUUGUACAGAAAUGUGUUUAUAUCCCUGUUGGUGAGCAUUUCUCCUUUGCCACGAUAAUCCAUCCACCUGACAGGUUUGGCAUAUCAAUAAGCUGAUUAAACAGCAUGAUCAUUAAACAGGUGCACCUUGUGCUGGGGAAAAUAAAAGGCCACUCUAAAAUGUACAAUUUUGUCACACAACACAAUGCCACAGAUGUCUCAAGUUUUGAUGGAGCUUGCAAUUGACAUGCUGACUGUAGGAAUGUCAGAGAAUUUAAUGUUAAUUUCUCUACCUUAAGAAAUGAACAUCGUCGUUUUAGAGAAUUUGGCAGUAUGUCCAACUGGCCUCACAACCGUAGAGCAAGUGUAACUGUGCCAGCCAAGGACCUCCACAUCUGGCUUCUUUACCUGUGGGAUCGUCUGAGACCCUCCACCCUGACAGCUGAUGAAACUGAGGAGUAUUUCUGUCUGUUCUAAUAUGCCCUUUUGUGGGGAACAACUCAUAUUGAUUUGGCUGUGCCUGGCACCCCAGUGGGUGGGCCUAUGAAAGUGUAUCCAUCUAGUGAUCUGUCGAGUCUGAAAAAACCCAUGAUGGUCAUUGUAGUUCAUUACCAAGUUUCUGUGCUAAACUAGGUUGAAUAUUUGCUUUAUGAAAACUAAAACUCUCUUUAGAACCAGCAUACCACAUAUUGGAGUUCCUGACUUUCGUUUAAUGAUUUGAUUUCUCUCUAGAGAAAUGUCACCUUGGGCUCACACACAAAAAAACUAACUGAAUAGAAUUCAAGUAAUUGAACUGACAAUUAGUUGUACAAACAAAAAAUGUAAUUGCUCAACGCUAAAUAAUACAGUGAAUAUUAUUCAGGAAAAUAGCACAUAGUGCUGCCUAAAACAUACUGUAACCUUGAACUAAAUGGUUUUUGAGUCAUUCAUUUUAAUGUAGGAAAUCUACUAUAGGUUAAGUGUAAUUUAAACUGUGCACUUUGUUUAAUGUGAAUUCAUGUUUUAUUGUCAAUGAUUAGUUACCUGAUAUAUGGAAAUGAGAGAAAUUAACAAGAAAACAUUUUAAUAUAUUUUGUUAUAAUAAAGAGAGUGCCAGAACUGUCAAGACAAUAACUUUUCUGUCUCUCUCCUUCCACACUGAGUCCAAACCUACAGUCACUGGGUCCUGAUUGUGACAGUGGAGCCCAGUUUGUACUGCAGGAUCCAGAGAUGGCAUCAGUGAAGCUUGAAGACUGCAGUCAAACACUGGAGCUGAAUGUCAACAUUAAAGAUGAAGAAGAGGAGGAGAAGAUUGGGAAAUCUGUUUCUCAUGCCAGAAGAGGAUUGACCACCCCUCAGAGCCUGGUUCCUCUCUAGGAGACCAUGUUGAGACAUUCUCUACAUCCAGAGAGCAACAGCAGGAAGAUCACAGAGCUAAGAGGUCUCACCACUGCCCACAUUGUGUGGAGAUUUUCCCAUUUCUAUCAAAGCUAAAAAUACACCUACAAAUACACACAGGAGAGAAGCCUUACUCCUGCUCUGUGGAAGGGUGGGCGUGUAACUCAAACAUCUAGCCAAAGGCUGCGUGUUUGAAUCUCAUCACGGAGGACUUAAGUAUUUCAGCUAAUUAGCAACUUUGCAACUACUUACUACUUUUGAGCUGUUACUGAGCAUUUUAGCUUAGCAUGCAACUACUUAGCAUCGUAGCUAACCUUUCCCCUAAACCCAUUUAACUCUACCUUAAACCCCUCACCCCUAACCUAGCUAACGUUAGCAACAACAAAUUGGAAUUCAUAACAUAUCAUACAUAUUACAAGUUCGUAAAAUAUUGUAUGAAUAGCAAUGCGUAAAAUAACAUGCGAAUUGUAAUUCGUAACGUACGAUACGCAACAAUUUCAAAGAUUUACAGUUUGUGUGUGUGUGUGUUUGUUUGUGUGUGUGAUUUACAGUUUGUAUAAGGAUAUCAGUCAAUUGAAAUAAAUAAAUGAGGACCAAAUCUAUGGAUUUCACAUGACUGGGCAGGGGCUCAGCCAUAGGUGGGACUUGGGAGGGCAUAGUCCCACUUGGGAGCCAGGCCCAGCCAAUCAGAAUGAGUUUUUCACCACAAAAGGUCUUUAUUACAGACAGAAAUACUACUCAGCCCCCCCCCCCAGACAAUCCUGCAGGUGAAGAGGUCCUGGGCUGCCGUGGUUACAUGUGAUCUGCAGUUGUGAGGCCAGUUGUAUGUACUGCCAAAUUCUGUAAAAGGACGUUACAGGUGGCUUAUGGUGGAGAUAUAAAUAUUGAGUUCUCUGGCAACAGCUAUGGUGGACAUUCCUGCAGUCAUCAUGACAAUUGCACAUUCCCUCAACUUGAGACAUCUGUGACAUUGUGUUGUGUGGCCUUUUAUUGUCCCCAGCACAAGGUGCACCUGUGUAAUGAUCAUGCUGUUUUAUCAGCUUCUUGAUAUGCCACACCUGUCAGGUGGAUGGAUUAUCUUGACAAAGGCUGAAAUGCUCACUAACAGGGAUAUAAACAAAUUUGUGCACAACAUUUGAGAGAAAUAAGAUUUUUGUGCAUAUGGAACAUUUAUGGAAUUUUUUAUUUCCGCUCAUGAAACCAACACUAUACAUGUUUUGUUUAUAUUUUAGUUCAGUUUAUAUUGGUAGGCCAAUGUAAUGUAAUGUAAUGUAACCUAACAUGGUAAAUGGAGUGGCAUGGAUAUAACAUAUAAUACAUUUUGUUUGAGACCAGGUUGUCCCUCUGCAGUAUUCUGUGGGAAUGAGCAAGUAGACACUCUUUUUAUUUUUUAUUGAACCUUUAUUUAACUAGGCAAGUCAGUUAAGAACAAAUUCUUAUUUACAAUGAUGGCCUAGGAACAGUGGAUUAACUGCCUUGUUCAGAGGCUGAAUGACAGAUUUUUAACUUCUCAGCUCGGGGAUUCGAUCUAGCAACCUUGUGGUUACUGGCCCAACGCUCCAACCACUAGGCUACCUUCCAUCCCUAACACGUAUCAGAUAGAGAUGGUGUGAUGAUCACUUUUCACCACUAGUUUGGGGGGAUUAUUUUACAACUUGAUUUAAUGAUACACAGCUUAUGAAAUGAAUACAUGUGUUUAUUAAUUGUCUUUAAAACUAGAUUAGUUAUUUUAGUUACUGAUCAUGAAUGUGUUUGGAUAACUGCAUUGAAGCAAACUUUAUUGAUCUGCCAAUGAAAAAUAAAGUUACAUGAAUAUGUA